Arachis ipaensis is the source of this 704-nucleotide non-coding RNA. The record is from RefSeq and is a predicted model, not a curated record. Lineage: Eukaryota; Viridiplantae; Streptophyta; Magnoliopsida; Fabales; Fabaceae.
AAUACAUCUAACUUUAGUCAUUCUAUCCUAAAAAAUAUUUUAACUUAAUUUCUUGGUGACUAAGCUCCAAAAGCCAUGACCCCCUCCCCCAAAGUGACACCACCAGCUUCAUUUCUCCUUCUUCCUUGGUCUAGAACUCCUGAGAAAAAAAGCUAGAAACUCUAUGGAUCCUCCAAGCUUUAAGAUUUUAUAAGGUAUGAUGAAGUAUUUUGGCUGUUCUCCUUCCUUGAAGUUUCGGCCAUGAGAAACCAUGGAAAAAACUUGAUGUUAUUGUUGUUCUUGGUGGCGAAAUCAUAUCUAAAAGUCUUAUGGAGCAAAAAACCAUCAAUUUCAGCUUGAGAAAGACAUGAGUUCUUUUCCUUAAGCUACUGGAGGUGCAGAGGACAAUGUUUGCCUUUUGACAACAUCCAGCUUGGUCCGAGUUUUGAAGACCUAGAACGUAUUUUCUCUCGCUUUUGUAGUCUAUAUACAGGGAUUAAGUGAGUAUAAAGUCUAGGCCAGCUUGGGUACCAACUUAAGGACUUCUUGAACAUGUUAGGGCCUAAGAUGUUGUGUGUGCGUGUGUAUUUAUUAUCUAACUACUUCUUGGGGUGUCUUAACUGAGAUCUAAACACUGCUAACGGCUGGAUGACUGAGUACUAUUAACUCACACGAGAUGUAUAUAUUUGUGUGGUUGCUUAUAACUAUUCUGUCUAUUAUUAUUU